Molecule: ribosomal RNA, 495 nt
Filed under: uncultured bacterium
Lineage: Bacteria
Description: partial 16S ribosomal RNA
Rfam family: Bacterial small subunit ribosomal RNA
Source: RNAcentral
GACGAACGCUGGCGGCGUGCUUAACACAUGCAAGUCGAACGGAAAGGCCCUGCUUUUGUGGGGUGCUCGAGUGGCGAACGGGUGAGUAACACGUGGAUAACCUACCUAUAAGACUGGGAUAACUUCGGGAAACCGGAGCUAAUACCGGAUAACAUGUUGAACCGCAUGGUUCUACAGUGAAAGACGGUCUUGCUGUCACUUAUAGAUGGAUCCGCGCCGCAUUAGCUAGUUGGUAAGGUAACGGCUUACCAAGGCAACGAUGCGUAGCCGACCUGAGAGGGUGAUCGGCCACACUGGAACUGAGACACGGUCCAGACUCCUACGGGAGGCAGCAGUAGGGAAUCUUCCGCAAUGGGCGAAAGCCUGACGGAGCAACGCCGCGUGAGUGAAGAAGGUCUUCGGAUCGUAAAACUCUGUUAUUAGGGAAGAACAAAUGUGUAAGUAACUAUGCACGUCUUGACGGUACCUAAUCAGAAAGCCACGGCUAACUACGUG